This 500-nucleotide ribosomal RNA is filed under the name uncultured bacterium. RNAcentral describes it as "partial 16S ribosomal RNA". It matches the Rfam family "Bacterial small subunit ribosomal RNA", at positions 30 to 523 of the family's 1533-position model. The record is from RNAcentral.
AUUGAACGCUAGCGGGAUGCCUUACACAUGCAAGUCGAACGGCAGCGCGGACUUCGGUCUGGCGGCGAGUGGCGAACGGGUGAGUAAUGUAUCGGAACGUGCCCAGUAGCGGGGGAUAACUACUCGAAAGAGUAGCUAAUACCGCAUACGCCCUACGGGGGAAAGGGGGGGAUCGCAAGACCUCUCACUAUUGGAGCGGCCGAUAUCGGAUUAGCUAGUUGGUGAGGUAAAGGCUCACCAAGGCGACGAUCCGUAGCUGGUUUGAGAGGACGACCAGCCACACUGGGACUGAGACGCGGCCCAGACUCCUACGGGAGGCAGCAGUGGGGAAUUUUGGACAAUGGGGGAAACCCUGAUCCAGCCAUUCCGAGUGUGCGAUGAAGGCCUUCGGGUUGUAAAGCACUUUUGGCAGGAAAGAAAUCGCAUCAAUUAAUACUUGGUGUGGAUGACGGUACCUGCAGAAUAAGCACCGGCUAACUACGUGCCAGCCGCCGCGGUAA